AUUGAACGCUGGCGGCAUGCCUUACACAUGCAAGUCGAACGGCAGCACGGGUGCUUGCCCCUGGUGGCGAGUGGCGAACGGGUGAGUAAUACAUCGGAACAUGUCCUGUAGUGGGGGAUAGCCCGGCGAAAGCCGGAUUAAUACCGCAUACGAUCUACGGAUGACAGCGGAGGACCUUCGGGCCUCGCGCUAUAGGGUUGGCCGAUGGCUGAUUAGCUAGUUGGUGGGGUAAAGGCCUACCAAGGCGACGAUCAGUAGCUGGUCUGAGAGGACGACCAGCCACACUGGGACUGAGACACGGCCCAGACUCCUACGGGAGGCAGCAGUGGGGAAUUUUGGACAAUGGGCGAAAGCCUGAUCCAGCAAUGCCGCGUGUGUGAAGAAGGCCUUCGGGUUGUAAAGCACUUUUGUCCGGAAAGAAAUCCUUGGCCCUAAUACGGUCGGGGGAUGACGGUACCGGAAGAAUAAGCACCGGCUAACUACGUG
This 486-nucleotide ribosomal RNA is filed under the name uncultured bacterium. RNAcentral describes it as "partial 16S ribosomal RNA". It matches the Rfam family "Bacterial small subunit ribosomal RNA", at positions 30 to 507 of the family's 1533-position model. The record is from RNAcentral.